CCAGGACAUAGGAGCACAGAACCAGGACCGUUUUCUUAUCAACCAGCACAGCGUCAGGACAAUUCCGUUUAAACGAAACUUGCACGACUUUGCAAUAUAAUAUUGUUGUAAUAUACUUUGCAUGGUACUUAUGACGUAUCAGAGAAAAAAUAAGCAACAAAACAGUGGUUUUAUUGCCGUUCUGAUACAAUGUAAACAAACCCACCAGCACAGAAUCAGGACCCACCAGCACCUGACAGGACCAAAUCACCAGCACAGAACGUUCUCUCGCAGGACAACCAUACCCAC
This 288-nucleotide long non-coding RNA is filed under the name Mytilus galloprovincialis (Mediterranean mussel). Lineage: Eukaryota; Metazoa; Mollusca; Bivalvia; Mytilida; Mytilidae. The record is from RNAcentral.